UACGGAAGGGGCAAGCGUUGUCCGGAAUUAUUGGGCGUAAAGAGCUCGUAGGCGGUUUGUCGCGUCUGCUGUGAAAACUCGGGGCUUAACUCCGGGCCUGCAGUGGGUACGGGCAGACUAGAGUGCGGUAGGGGAGACUGGAAUUCCUGGUGUAGCGGUGAAAUGCGCAGAUAUCAGGAGGAACACCGGUGGCGAAGGCGGGUCUCUGGGCCGUAACUGACGCUGAGGAGCGAAAGCGUGGGGAGCGAACAGG
Molecule: ribosomal RNA, 253 nt
Filed under: uncultured bacterium
Lineage: Bacteria
Description: partial 16S ribosomal RNA
Rfam family: Bacterial small subunit ribosomal RNA
Source: RNAcentral